AUGGAGAACCGAAAGAAUACCGGCCUCAGGAAGAGGAAGCUUCCGAACGAUGGGACGGUGCAGGAGCAGGAGCCUACUAUCAAGGAGAUGUGCCAAGCCCUGAAGGAGAUGGAAAGUGAGCUCCAGAACCUCCGGGACGACAACAACCAGCUCCGCGACGAGCUCCUUGGCAAAGACCGGCAGCUUGCGGAGACACGGACAGUUCUAGUUGACAGGGAGCACAAGCUUUCGAACACCCAGGCACUUCUAGUUGACAGGGAGCAGCAGCUUGCGGCCCAGACACUUGUUGUUGACACAAAGGAGUUUGAAACUGAAAUUUUGAGGCUUAAGCGUCUCUUGGCUGAGAAGAGUGACACAAAUGAUCAUACAGCUCUAGUGUCUCCUGAGACAAUAAAUGAAGUCAUACAGAAGCAAACUCCAGUUUCAUCUGCAAGGACACCAGCGUCAAACAGAACGAAUACAGUCCAGUCCAGUGUGAAAGCCAUUGCCCACCAUGGUAGCUUUCAGGAUGAAGCUAGCGAGGACUGCUGUAGAAGGGGUGUUUGCAGCUCAGGGAGUGGGACAGAUGAAAGUUCCCGUUCUUGUGUGUAUCAUAUGCUGGUUGAAUCUUUAGUUGGCAUGAAGUUUUCACUGAAGGAUGAAACAGAAGGACUCUCACUUUCAAUCCAUCAUGAAGCUACUGGUUAUGAUUUCAGCCUUACAUGGUUGGAGCAAGCGGAUGGUGGUGAAUGGGCCUACAAAUACUCCUCGCUGGGCACCCUGGAGGAGAUGGCUUUGAAGUGGAUGAAAGUGCAGGACAUACGGUUCAGCAUGGACAUGUUCCCUAUGUUCUUCGAGCGGAUAUCGAGCCUCCUCAGAAGGAAGUGUCCUUGGUAUUUCAGGAUGGCCGAAGAUGGUUUCGGUCUGUUCCUUUAG
This 915-nucleotide ribosomal RNA is filed under the name Triticum aestivum (bread wheat). Its description in RNAcentral is "partial small subunit ribosomal RNA". Lineage: Eukaryota; Viridiplantae; Streptophyta; Magnoliopsida; Poales; Poaceae. The record is from RNAcentral.